This 312-nucleotide ribosomal RNA is filed under the name Triticum aestivum (bread wheat). Its description in RNAcentral is "partial small subunit ribosomal RNA". Lineage: Eukaryota; Viridiplantae; Streptophyta; Magnoliopsida; Poales; Poaceae. The record is from RNAcentral.
AUGCUUGAAGAUUUUGAAGAUGAAACCGACUUCAACCUGUGGGCAGCCACGAUGAAGAAGAUUAAGAUGCCACGUAAGAUGAGAUCGAUGCAAAAGCGCCUACAAAAGAUGGACCGUGAUAGUUAUGGUGUUCAGCCAGAAACUCGCUGCGAGGAGCGGCAAGUUCCUGACAUCCGGGAAACAGCAGGAUAUGUGGAGGAGGCAGAAAUCAUCUGGAGGGCUGAUGACGAAAGGAAAAUCUUGGAUUGCAUAUCUGGGAGCAAUAGUUAUUUCCCUCUGCUUUCGAUCACAGUGAUUGGAGUCAGUAAGUAG